UAAGGAAUAUUGGUCAAUGGACGCAAGUCUGAACCAGCCAUGCCGCGUGAAGGAUGAAGGUCCUCUGGAUUGUAAACUUCUUUUAUAUGGGACGAAACCCGGGAAUUCUUUCCCGAUUGACGGUACCAUAAGAAUAAGCACCGGCUAACUCCGUGCCAGCAGCCGCGGUAAUACGGAGGGUGCAAGCGUUAUCCGGAUUCACUGGGUUUAAAGGGUGCGUAGGAGGGCAGGUAAGUCAGUGGUGAAAUCUCCAAGCUUAACUUGGAAACUGCCGUUGAUACUAUCUGUCUUGAAUAUUGUGGAGGUGAGCGGAAUAUGUCAUGUAGCGGUGAAAUGCUUAGAUAUGACAUAGAACACCAAUUGCGAAGGCAGCUCGCUACACAUAUAUUGACUCUGAGGCACGAAAGCGUGGGGAUCAAACA
Molecule: ribosomal RNA, 422 nt
Filed under: uncultured Flavisolibacter sp.
Lineage: Bacteria; Pseudomonadati; Bacteroidota; Chitinophagia; Chitinophagales; Chitinophagaceae
Also listed under: 1 other name
Description: bacterial SSU rRNA
Rfam family: Bacterial small subunit ribosomal RNA
Source: RNAcentral